Molecule: transfer RNA, 68 nt
Filed under: Cordylochernes scorpioides
Lineage: Eukaryota; Metazoa; Arthropoda; Arachnida; Pseudoscorpiones; Chernetidae
Description: tRNA-Thr
Rfam family: tRNA (bases 1-60)
About the family: Transfer RNA (tRNA) molecules are approximately 80 nucleotides in length. Their secondary structure includes four short double-helical elements and three loops (D, anti-codon, and T loops). Further hydrogen bonds mediate the characteristic L-shaped molecular structure. tRNAs have two regions of fundamental functional importance: the anti-codon, which is responsible for specific mRNA codon recognition, and the 3' end, to which the tRNAs corresponding amino acid is attached (by aminoacyl-tRNA synthetases). tRNAs cope with the degeneracy of the genetic code in two manners: having more than one tRNA (with a specific anti-codon) for a particular amino acid; and 'wobble' base-pairing, i.e. permitting non-standard base-pairing at the 3rd anti-codon position.
Source: RNAcentral
GUGGCCUAGUCCUCAUGGCAUCUGCCCGGUAAGCGGAAGGUCGUGGGUUCGAUUCCCAUCCCUUAACA